GCCGGGUGUGGUGGCGCGCGCCUGUAAUCCAAGCUUCAUGGAGGCUGAGGCUGGAGGAUGGUUGGAGCUGAGGAGCUCUGAGCUGCAGUGGACUAUGCUGAUCGGGUGUCCGCACUCAGUUCGGUAUCGAUAUGGUC
Molecule: small RNA, 137 nt
Filed under: Oryzias sinensis (Chinese medaka)
Lineage: Eukaryota; Metazoa; Chordata; Actinopteri; Beloniformes; Adrianichthyidae
Description: Metazoan signal recognition particle RNA (ENSOSIG00000008418.1)
Rfam family: Metazoan signal recognition particle RNA
About the family: The signal recognition particle (SRP) is a universally conserved ribonucleoprotein.
Source: Rfam by way of RNAcentral